RNAcentral lists this long non-coding RNA (472 nucleotides) under Monodelphis domestica (gray short-tailed opossum). RNAcentral's name for it is "lncRNA (ENSMODG00000030931.2)". The record is from RNAcentral. Lineage: Eukaryota; Metazoa; Chordata; Mammalia; Didelphimorphia; Didelphidae.
CCCAACUGUGAGUGGCAGUUGGGUCUUGUGACUAGCACUUCCUUCCUGCCAGGUGGUCUUGCUUCCUGGUGGUGGAGGAGAGAGGAGCUUGUUCAUCCCAGUCUGGUGUGGUCUGCCGCCUCUUCUUGGUUCAGCCCGAAGAUUCAGACCCAUUCAUCUCUGAAGAGGUCAGUCAAAGUAGAGAGAAUUAUAGCAGCAUAGUAUAUGGCACCUUCAUACCACCAUCCAACACAGUGGAAGUAGAAAGCUUCACUUAUGAAGAUAGAAUUAUCUGGCUUAACUAAUUUCAAAUGGAAGCAGGAAUAAUCAAGGUUUCAGAAGGAAAAGACAAAAGAGGAAAGACAGGUUUUGUUGUCUUUCUGUAUGAGAUGAAAUGGCAAGACUAAUUCACCUUGCCUAGAAAGUCAACUAUGUUUUUUGUUGUGAGUUAUAUUCUGAUUAAACAACUUGGUGAGGGAAUAACUAGCUGGAC